RNAcentral lists this ribosomal RNA (253 nucleotides) under uncultured bacterium. Its description in RNAcentral is "partial 16S ribosomal RNA". It matches the Rfam family "Bacterial small subunit ribosomal RNA", at positions 524 to 776 of the family's 1533-position model. The record is from RNAcentral.
UACGUAGGGUGCGAGCGUUAAUCGGAAUUACUGGGCGUAAAGGGUGCGCAGGCGGCUUUGCAAGACAGAUGUGAAAUCGCCGGGCUCAACCUGGGAACUGCAUUUGUGACUGCAAGGCUAGAGUACGGCAGAGGGGGAUGGAAUUCCGCGUGUAGCAGUGAAAUGCGUAGAUAUGCGGAGGAACACCAAUGGCGAAGGCAAUCCCCUGGGCCUGUACUGACGCUCAUGCACGAAAGCGUGGGGAGCAAACAGG